UACGUAGGUGACAAGCGUUGUCCGGAUUUACUGGGCGUAAAGGGCUCGUAGGCGGCCAACUAAGUCGGAUGUGAAAUCCCCAGGCUCAACCUGGGAACUGCAUCCGAUACUGGAUGGCUUGAAUCCGGGAGAGGGAUGCAGAAUUCCAGGUGUAGCGGUGAAAUGCGUAGAUAUCUGGAGGAAUACCGGUGGCGAAGGCGGCAUCCUGGACCGGCAUUGACGCUGAGGAGCGAAAGCCAGGGGAGCAAACGGG
RNAcentral lists this ribosomal RNA (253 nucleotides) under uncultured bacterium. Its description in RNAcentral is "partial 16S ribosomal RNA". It matches the Rfam family "Bacterial small subunit ribosomal RNA", at positions 524 to 776 of the family's 1533-position model. The record is from RNAcentral.